This 394-nucleotide ribosomal RNA is filed under the name uncultured Methanosaeta sp. RNAcentral's name for it is "bacterial SSU rRNA". It matches the Rfam family "Archaeal small subunit ribosomal RNA", at positions 946 to 1338 of the family's 1478-position model. Lineage: Archaea; Methanobacteriati; Methanobacteriota; Methanomicrobia; Methanotrichales; Methanotrichaceae. The record is from RNAcentral.
UAUGAAGGCCAGGCUGAAGACUUUGCCGGAUUAGCUGAGAGGUGGUGCAUGGCCGUCGUCAGUUCGUACUGUGAAGCAUCCUGUUAAGUCAGGCAACGAGCGAGACCCACGCCCACAGUUGCCAGCGUACUCUCUGGGGGUGACGGGUACACUGUGGGGACCGCCGCUGCUAAAGCGGAGGAAGGAAUGGGCAACGGUAGGUCAGUAUGCCCCGAAUAUCCCGGGCUACACGCGAGCUACAAUGGUUGGUACAAUGGGUAUCUACCCCGAAAGGGGACGGGAAUCUCCUAAAACCAAUCUUAGUUCGGAUUGAGGGCUGCAACUCGCCCUCAUGAAGCUGGAAUCCGUAGUAAUCGCGUUUCAACAGAACGCGGUGAAUACGUCCCUGCUCCUU